CCUUUGACGUUAGCGGCGGACGGGUGAGUAACACGUGGGUAACCUACCUAUAAGACUGGGAUAACGUUCGGGAAACCGGAGCUAAUACCGGAUAAUAUUUCGAACCGCAUGGUUCGAUAGUGAAAGAUGGUUUUGCUAUCACUUAUAGAUGGACCCGCGCCGUAUUAGCUAGUUGGUAAGGUAACGGCUUACCAAGGCGACGAUACGUAGCCGACCUGAGAGGGUGAUCGGCCACACUGGAACUGAGACACGGUCCAGACUCCUACGGGAGGCAGCAGUG
Molecule: ribosomal RNA, 280 nt
Filed under: uncultured Staphylococcus sp.
Lineage: Bacteria; Bacillati; Bacillota; Bacilli; Caryophanales; Staphylococcaceae
Description: partial 16S ribosomal RNA
Rfam family: Bacterial small subunit ribosomal RNA
Source: RNAcentral